This is a long non-coding RNA of Bactrocera neohumeralis, 852 nucleotides long. RefSeq lists it as uncharacterized. The transcript has 2 exons. The record is from RefSeq and is a predicted model, not a curated record. Lineage: Eukaryota; Metazoa; Arthropoda; Insecta; Diptera; Tephritidae.
GAUUUAGAUAUAUUUGAACUUCUUCUCCUCUAUCCGCGUAGACACCGCUUACGCGAUUAUUGGCGAGUUAACAAUAGCGCGCCAGUCAUUUCUUCUUUUCGCAGCGUGGCGCGAAUUGGACGUCGAUUUCAAAGCAAGGUCCUAAAAGGUGCUGUAAAUGCUCCUUGGUACUGCAGAAGUGCUGAUAUUCAUCGAUAUCUAUGGGCGAAUACAGUCGGAGUCAGGGAGGUGCCCACUACAAAAGGCUUAAUGCGCAUGUGAACGAGGAGACGAGAAAUCACACACAGUUUUCUUACUGACAUCCUACCACUGACCAUUGAAAACAACGUCCUACUGUGGUUGUAAAGGAUCUUGAAAAACGGAUCAUCUUCAAAAGUUGAAGCAGUAUCUUCUACGAGAAAGCACAGAAAGUAGUUUCUCGAAAGUUUUGGUGGUGUCUAGGUUAAUUUUUGAACACAUAAUUCACCGAAUCGAAGACACCAACUUAAUGAGUCACUGCUUUGAAGCCAGGUCAUGGAAAUGAGUCAAACGUCGUCAAGUUUUUUAUCAGUUUAGUCACAAGAUCGGAGUCAGGAACCAAUGUAAACAGAUUUAAUCAUACACGUAAUCAAGACACAAUUGACAAUUGAUGUACAAAAAUUUAUUAUAGCUAAAUAAAGUUGAUUAUAGAGUUGCCAGCUUUUUAAAAUUUGAAACAAAACAUGAAAAGUGAGAUGCAAUAAAAUGUGUAAUAUAUUACAAUGUGUUCUAUAAUAAAGCUUAUACGAGUUUAAAAUUCAAAAAUUGAGCUGAAGAACAAGUUGGUCAGAGUUGCUAUCUGUUAACAAUUAAAUGUUCAACUAAAAUUUUCAA